AGAAUUUAGUGCAGAAAUUGUGCAAUUCUUGGGCACCAAAGGGAGAGGAAAAAUGACGAUAUAAUUGGAGAAAACCUUGGGGAGCCGUGAGGCAAGGAACCAAGGGGUUGAUGCAAUUUUUCCUUCUCUUUAUUCUUCGUUUUUAUCUUGUAUUUAGUUUGAUAUUUUAUUUAUGUCUAGUUCAAUUAUGUUAAGGAGGAAAUACCAUGAAAUGAAGUUCUAGUUUUUAUCUUUCAC
This 237-nucleotide long non-coding RNA is filed under the name Prunus persica (peach). Its description in RNAcentral is "long non-coding RNA (PPER_LNC005749)". The record is from RNAcentral. Lineage: Eukaryota; Viridiplantae; Streptophyta; Magnoliopsida; Rosales; Rosaceae.